RNAcentral lists this ribosomal RNA (488 nucleotides) under uncultured soil bacterium. RNAcentral describes it as "bacterial SSU rRNA". It matches the Rfam family "Bacterial small subunit ribosomal RNA", at positions 26 to 518 of the family's 1533-position model. The record is from RNAcentral.
AGGACGAACGCUGGCGGCGUGCUUAACACAUGCAAGUCAAGGGGGCCCAGCAAUGGGCAACCGGCGAACGGGUGCGUAACACGUGAGCAACCUACCGAAAUGUGGGGGAUAGCCGGCCUAACGGCCGAGUAAUACCGCAUACGCUCUCGAUGAGGCAUUUCAUUGAGAGGAAACCUACGGGACAUUUCGAGGGGCUCGCGGCCUAUCAGCUAGUUGGAGAGGUAACGGCUCACCAAGGCAACGACGGGUAGCUGGUCUGAGAGGAUGGCCAGCCACAUUGGGACUGAGAUACGGCCCAGACUCCUACGGGAGGCAGCAGUGGGGAAUCUUGCGCAAUGGCCUAACGGCUGACGCAGCGACGCCGCGUGUAGGAUGAAGCUCUUCGGAGUGUAAACCACGUGUUCGCCCGGGAACGAAUACGCUCGAUUAGUCGAGCCGUGACGGUACCGGUGAGGAAGCGACCGGCUAACGUCCGUGCCAGCAGCCGC